This 497-nucleotide ribosomal RNA is filed under the name uncultured bacterium. RNAcentral's name for it is "partial 16S ribosomal RNA". It matches the Rfam family "Bacterial small subunit ribosomal RNA", at positions 28 to 507 of the family's 1533-position model. The record is from RNAcentral.
GAUGAACGCUGGCGGCGUGCCUAAUACAUGCAAGUCGAGCGAACGGACGAGAAGCUUGCUUCUCUGAUGUUAGCGGCGGACGGGUUAGUAACACGUGGAUAACCUACCUAUAAGACUGGGAUAACUUCGGGAAACCGGAGCUAAUACCGGAUAAUAUUUUGAACCGCAUGGUUCAAAAGUGAAAGACGGUCUUGCUGUCACUUAUAGAUGGAUCCGCGCUGCAUUAGCUAGUUGGUAAGGUAACGGCUUACCAAGGCAACGAUGCAUAGCCGACCUGAGAGGGGGAUCGGCCACACUGGAACUGAGAAACGGUACAGACGCCUAAGGGAGGCAGCAGUAGGGAAUCUUCUGCAAUGGGCGAAAGCCUGACGGAGCAACGCCGCGGGAGUGAUGAAGGUCUUCGGAUCGUAAAACUCUGUUAUUAGGGAAGAACAUAUGUGUAAGUAACUGUGCAAAUCUUGACGGUACCUAAUCAGAAAGCCACGGCUAACUACGUG